This is an RNA transcript of Carassius auratus (goldfish), 7778 nucleotides long. RefSeq lists it as uncharacterized. NCBI's taxonomy places the organism in Eukaryota, Metazoa, Chordata, Actinopteri, Cypriniformes, Cyprinidae. The transcript is spliced from 3 exons. The record is from RefSeq and is a predicted model, not a curated record.
GAAGUCAGUUUAAUAUUUCAUGUUUAUUUUAUUUUGUUAAAGACCUUUAAUUUGAAACUGCUUUGUAGAGAGCUGCUUGAGUUGAGACUUUUAUUAUGAAAGGUACCGUGUAACUCAGGAAGUUGUUGUCUACACCGCAUGGCAAGCUGAACCUGAAGCUGUAAUCCACAUUUCUAAAGUGCAUUUAAGUUCAUUUACUCAACGGAGGUUACAGAAGAUAUUACCAGAUGUUAGAUUAAGUUCUCCUUUGGUAAUAAGCAGCCAAUGAAGUAAGUUUGUCAUUUAUAUUGUAUGUGAUUAUUGUGAAUUGUGUUGCUAUGUGUGAAAAGUGAUAUACAAAGACCGCAGUUUGCUGUUAAAGUUAAUUUAAAUCUGUUUGGAAAGUUUACAAAGACAAUAUUUAUUUAUUUGAUUUAUGUAUUUAUAUUCUUUAUUGUAAUUUUAUUUUUGUUUAUUUAGUUCUCACGGCAUCUUGAGUUGGAUGGUUAUCCUCAUGGUGAACCAGUCAAUAAAUCGCCUGUCAUCAGAGAAUCCUUGUGCUCGUGAAAUUACUGGGGGGGAGCUACAGUGAGAAUUCAUCUGCUCUUCACGGGUAGGAGAAGGAACGUUUCUGAACAGCAGUUAAGUGAGCAUCAAGUUAACUCCAAGUUCCAUCAUUCUGGAUUCUACAAGCAUUGUAUACACUGGUAACCAAGAACUAAGUGACACGCAUAUGCACAGAGUUUAAAGGCAUUGUCAAGUUAAGGCCGACAAGAAGAUUAGCACAACCAAGUUCAAGUUAAGGUGCUUGAAGUGGACUUAUUCUUGCCAUUUGUUAAAAAUGACUCUUUAAGUGUUCAGUACAUUGUUUGAAGAAGUGUUGGUGUUAUGUAUUUACCUUUUCAAGUUUAAGUCAUUUUUGAUCAGGUUUAAAGCUGCAAGUAAGAUAAUAGUUGUGAAGAAUAGCAAAGUGCAAUGCCUAAAAAUAGUUGAAUUUCAUUUACAAUUUUAAUUUUACAGGUGAUUGAACUGUUAAAAUACUACUUUAACCAGAGUUAAUAAUCUAAGAAAGAAACAUCUGUUUGCCUAAGUUCAGUACAGUUCACGUUACAUGUAUAAUUAUUCAAUUAGAGUAGUCAGUGUAACUAAGAGAUACAAAAAUGUCAGAAGAUGGUCAGUCUGCUAAGUGUGGCAAAGAAAAUAUAAAAGAUACUGUGCAAUCACCACAGCAGCUAGAAUCCCAAGAAUGUGUAGACACACAAGCAUUAGUAGCUGUUGAUGACACAACAGAGCAAGAACCACGAAGAAGUCAAAGAGCACGAAAAUUUACAGAGAAAGGUAAAGAGUUGCACGAUGAAAGGCUGACUAAACGUAAAAAUAGCUUUCAACGCUCUUAUGAGAAAUGGAAGACUCUUGCUAGAGAUAGUAGACAAAGACUAAUGGGGCAUCUCUCCAGUGACAUGUUGAACAGCCUCAUAGAUGCAAUCAGUGGUUCUUCAAAGGAUGUUAAUGUUGUUUAUGAAGAAUUGCGACAAAAUGUGAAUCCAGACAGUGAUAAUCGCCGUAGAGUAGACACUUGUGGAGCAGUCACAAAAAUGAUAGUUGAGUCUGCAUGGAGUCGUCUAGGUGAGGGAGUUAAGGGUCAAGAUCCUCUUAGACCAGAAGCAUGCUGUAUUGAUACAGGUUCAGUGUUCUCAUCCAUAGCCUCCAAAUCAAGUCAUGGACAUUCCAGGUCUUCUCAGUCUAUGAAAAAUUCAAUUUUGAGCUCCAGAGGUUCAAGUUGUUCCUCAGCUAAGAAGCAAGAGGCUGCUGCAGAAAUUGCUGCAACUGAAGCAACAUUAGAAAUAUUACAGCAACAAGAGCAUGAACUGGAAGAACUACAAAGACUUGAGGCUGAAGACAAAAGGAGAAUAGCAGAACAAGAAGCUGAAGAAUUGAAGCGACGACUAUAAAGAGAAGAACAAGAAGCUAGGUUACGUGUUAAGAUUGAAGCUGAAAAUGCUGCUAGACGGAAAGCAUUAGAAGACAAGCGCAGAGAGCUUGAGCGCUUGGAGACACUAAAAAGAUUAAAUGCUGCAAGGGCACGAAUGCAAGUCUACGAGCAGAAUGAAGACUCAAAGGAAGAAACAAGAGAGCUACUUCGUGACUGUGCAUCGGUAAGAAAGAAACAUGUACCAAAGUUAAGCAGCUCGGUGUUACAGAGCAUACCUCUACAGGAAGGUGCAACAAAAUCAUAUCAAGAAGCUAGCACUGCAGACCUUGUUAAGGUGUUAGCAGAAUCUAUCAGCUCAAGUCGUCUUCCUAUACCUGAACCUGCAACAUUCUAUGGAGACUCUCUCAGAUUUAGUGAUUGGAAAAUCUCAUUUCAAACUCUGAUAGACAGAAAAAACAUACCAGUAAAUGAGAAGCUUUACUACUUACGCAAGUAUGUGGAAGGACCAGCUAAUAAGGCCAUUGAAAGUUACUUCCUCCUAGGCACGGAGUCCGCAUAUCAAGCAGCAUGGGGCGUACUAGAAGAAAGGUAUGGAAACCCAUUCGUCAUUGCUAAAGCCUUUCGAGACAAGCUUAAUUCAUGGCCAAAGAUUGGUUCCAAGGACAGUGUUGAGCUGAGAGAAUUUACUGACUUCCUCAGAGGCUGUGAAGCAGCUAUGUCUCAGAUUAAGGGUCUUGAAAUCCUCAAUGAUUGUAAUGAGAACCAGAAAAUUCUUUCCAAGCUUCCUGAUUGGUUAGCCUCAGCAUGGAAUCGUCAGGUCAUAGAAAUUGAAGAAGAAACUAAGACAUUUCCUACCUUCAGUCGGUUUGUAAAGUUUCUUACGCGAGAAGCUAAGAUAGCUUGUAAUCCAGUGACAUCGCUUCAUGCACUGAAGCCUAAUGAGAUCGGAAAGGGAAAGAUAUCAAGAAAUCAGGACACUAGAGCAAAAGUGUUAACGGUACAGUCCAGAGAAAAGGUAGAUGCUGUAAAAUGUACCUUCUGUGAGAGACUAGGACAUAGUAUUCACAAAUGUCGUAAGUUUAUGGAGAAGAAUGUUGCAGAGCGAGUCAAGUUUGUCCAAAUGAAUAAGUUAUGCUUUGGAUGUUUGAAUCCUGGUCAUCAUUCAAAGAACUGUGAAGACAGGAGUGUCUGUGAGAAAUGUCAGAAGAAGCACCCAUCAUGCUUACAUGAGGAUCGUAUCAAGGAAGCAAAGAGGACUCCACAGUCAGGUCAGUCAAAGGAGAAGUUGAAGGAAAGAAACCCAGAGUUGGUACAGAAUAAAGAUACCGUAAGUGAAGUAACAUCUAACAGAGUAAUACAGGAUGUAAAUAAUACUCACACCUCUACAAUUGUUCCAGUAUGGGUAUCAGCUACCGAUGAACCAACUCAUGAAGUUCUGGUAUAUGCACUUCUUGACACCCAGAGCGAUACUACCUUCAUCCUGGAAGAGAUAGCUCAAGCUCUUGACACAAAGAAGGAAUCUGUGCAGCUGAAGCUCUCAACAAUGGUAUCCAAGAGUACAGUUGUUCCAUGCCAGAAGAUAAUUGGUUUAAAGGUGAGAGGAUUUUAUUCAGAAAAGAUCUCUUUGCCAGUAACCUAUUCUAGAGAGUUUAUUCCUGCAAACAGAACUCACAUUCCUACACCCAAAACUGCAAGAGUGUGGCCUCAUCUAAUGCAUAUAGCUGAGAAGAUUGCUCCUAAACAAGUUUGUGAUAUUGGCCUUCUGAUUGGAUACAACUGCCCUCAAGCUCUUCUUCCUAGAGAAAUUGUGUCUGGUAAAGAAAAUCAGCCAUUUGCUCAAAGAACAGAUCUGGGCUGGAGCAUUGUUGGCUGUGGCAAUUCCUCUGUAGACUACGGGGAUGCCAUUGGAGUGAGCCAUCGCAUUAUAGUGAAACAAGUGCUGCCAAGUCUACAGUCUUCUCUCAAUCUUACAAGUAAAGUUCAGUACAUAUGUAGAACACAGAUCAAGGAAGUGAUCACUCCACCAAAUGUCAUCAAAGCUCUUGAGUCGGACUUCAAUGAGAAAGCAGCAGUGGAUAGUUGUAUUUCUCAAGAAGAUUUACGUUUUCUGUCAAAAAUGGAAACAGGCAUCAGACACAAGGAAGAUGGUCAUUAUGAAAUGCCUUUGCCUUUCAAGGAAGACAGACCAAAUUUGCCCAACAAUAAAGGAUGUGCUAUUCAUCGCCUCAAAAGCUUAGAAAAAAGGCUUAAAAGAGAUGAGAAAUACUAUAGAGACUAUUUAGACUUUAUGAAUGAGACAAUUGCUCGAGGAGAUGCUGAGAAGGUUCCAGCUGAAGAAACAGAUAAAAUCCCUGCUUGGUACAUUCCCCAUCAUGGGGUUUAUCAUCCUCAAAAACCUGAAAAGAUCCGUGUAGUCUUUGAUUGCUCAGCAAAGUUUCAAGGUUCAUCCCUCAAUGACCAUUUGCUAACUGGUCCAGAGUUAACAAAUACCCUUGUAGGUGUUCUCUGUCGUUUCCGUAAGGGUCCGGUGGCAAUCAUGUGUGACAUAGAGCGCAUGUUUCACCAAUUUCAUGUGAAGGAAGAAGAUCAAGACUACUUACGGUUCCUCUGGUGGGAGAAAGGAGAUCUAGAAUCCAAGCCACAGGUUUAUAGGAUGAAAGUACACCUUUUCGGUGCAGCCUCAUCGCCCGGGUGUGCCAAUUAUGGCCUCAAGCAUAUUGCUGCUCAAGGUCGUGGUUACUUCAGUGAAUCCUCCAUUCGAUUCAUAGAAAGGAAUUUCUAUGUCGAUGAUGGGUUGACAAGUGUCUCAACUGUAGAUGAAGCUAUCAAACUGAUGAAGGAAGCAAGAGAACUUUGUAGCACAGGAAAGCUUUGUUUACAUAAAUUUGUGUCAAGCAGUGAAGAAGUAAAAGCAUCAAUUCCUCUGGAAGAAUGUGCUAAAAGUGUUAUGGAACAUGACUUGGCUUUGGGUGAGCUUCACAUGGAAAGGGCACUUGGUGUGAAAUGGUGCAUCAAAUCUGACAGCUUCCAGUUCAGAGUAUUCGUUAAGGAACAACCACUCACUAGAAGAGGAAUCCUUUCAACAGUGGCUUCUGUAUAUGACCCACUUGGCUUUGCAGCACCCUUAAUUCUUGUUGGUAAGCAAAUACUGCAACAGAUGUGUCAAGAUAAGGUGGGCUGGGAUGAACCACUUAAAGAGGAGUUGUUGACAAAGUGGAAAGCUUGGCUUACAGAUCUGCGAAACUUGGCUGAUGUGAAGAUUCAGAGAUGUUAUCUCCCGUCAACUUUUAAGGAAGUUCAGCGUUAUGAGCUUCAUCAUUUCUCUGACGCUAGUACAUCGGGAUAUGGAGAAUGCACAUAUCUCAGAGCUAUUAGCAUAUCAGGAGAUGUUCAUUGCUCCUUGGUUAUGGCCAAGGCUAGAGUUGCUUCUUCUAAAGUUACCACCAUACCAAGGCUGGAGUUAUCAGCUGCAGUAGUUGCUGUACAAACAAGUGACUUGCUCAGAAAGGAGCUGGAUAUAGCCAACCUAGAAGAGUACUUCUGGACUGACUCAAAAGUUGUCCUUGGAUACAUUAAUAAUGACGCCAAAAGAUUUCAUAUCUUUGUAGCAAACCGCAUUCAACGGAUUAAACAAAGCACAGAUACUAAACAAUGGAGAUAUGUGACGUCUAAAGAGAACCCUGCCGAUCAUGCGUCCAGGGGCCUUACAUCAGAAGAGCUCAUAUCAUCCAACUGGUUCACAGGACCAAGGUUUCUGUGGAAGGAUGAACUGCCCAGUGAUGUUAAGGUGGGAGAGAUCAUAGACAAUGACCCAGAGCUACGGAAAGCUCAAGUUCAUAAAACUCAAGCAAAAGAAGAAAGAUCAUUGCUUGAUCGACUUCAGAAGUUUUCAGAUUGGACAAGACUGGUAAAAGCUAUUGCAAGACUUAAGAGAUGUUCCAGGGAAGUGAAAGGUCUAAGUUCAAGGGUUAAUGAAGCCACCAGUAUCGAAGAAAGACAGGAUGCAGAGAUUACCGUUAUCAGAAUGGUUCAACAAUCAGCCUUUUGUGAUGAGAUCCAGAGACUCCGGCAACAGAAGGAGAUUGAGUCCAGCACAAACAAACUGCAUCGCCUGAAUCCCUUCUUAGAUGAGCAUGGUAUCCUCAGGGUGGGAGGUCGCUUAGUACAUGCUGCAUUACACCCACAUGUGAAACACCCAGCAAUUCUCCCACGACAUAGUCAUAUAUCAACAUUACUCAUCAGACAUUAUCAUGAGCAAGUGUAUGACCAAGGGAGAGGAAUGACUAUAAAUGAACUGCGAUCAAACGGUUUCUGGAUCUUGGGAUGUAGCAAAGCAGUGUCUUCAUAUAUCUACAAAUGCACUAGGUGCAGGAAACUGAGAAGAUGCACUGAAGAGCAAAGGAUGGCGAAUCUUCCUCAGGAACGUAUGGAGACAACCCCUCCUUUCACAUACUGCGGGAUGGACUGUUUCGGUCCUUUCUACGUCAAAGAUGGAAGAAAGGAGUUGAGGCGUUAUGGGCUUCUACUUACAUGUAUGUGUUCCAGGGCGAUCCAUGUGGAAAUGCUGGAUGAUUUAUCCACUGACGCAUUCAUUAAUGCAUUGUGUGCUUUCAUUGCCAUACGUGGACCUGUACGUCAACUUAGAUCCGACCAGGGCACUAAUUUCGUGGGUGCAAGACGAGAAUUUGCUGAAGCACUAAAGGAAAUUAACCAAGAACGCCUAAAGGAGUUUGGCUGUGAAUUCAUCAUGAACACCCCAUCAGCCAGUCACAUGGGUGGCAUUUGGGAGAGGCAAAUUCGGACAAUAAGGAGUGUUUUGACAUCCAUUCUGGAUCAAUCGGCUCAAAGACUUGAUAGUGCCUCACUAAGAACAUUUCUCUAUGAAGUCAUGGCUAUCGUGAAUAGCAGACCGUUAACCACGGAGCAUCUGAAUGAUCCAUCAGGUCCGCAGCCUCUUACACCUAACCACAUCUUGACUAUGAAGACUUCAAUAAUUUUACCACCACCUGGAGAAUUUGUCAAGGAAGACCUUUACCUUCAUAAGAGAUGGCGUAAGGUGCAGUAUUUAGCGAAUGAGUUCUGGUCACGUUGGAAAAAAGAAUAUCUUCUAAACCUGCAACACAGGCAGAAAUGGCACAAGCAUCGUAGAAAUGUAAAGGUCAAUGACAUUGUCAUUCUAAAAGAUGACACUGCUCCACGCAGUCGGUGGAAGCUAGCGAAGGUAACAGAAGUGCACAGUGGUACAGAUGGCUGUGUAAGAACAGUGAAGUUGUUGAUCAGUGAUUCGACACUGGAUAAAAAGGGCAAACGUGUUACUAAACCGACUUACCUUGAAAGGCCCAUUCAGAAAAUAGUUACCCCGAUUGAAGCAGAUUAAAAGCGUACCUUGUGUCUACCAUUCUUUGGGUUAGUCCAUAAGAUUUUUGAAUAAAAGUUGUCACUAAGUUACAAAAAAUCACAAGAAAGUGUUUUGGUGGGAGUGUAACUGACAGAGAAGUCAGUUUAAUAUUUCAUGUUUAUUUUAUUUUGUUAAAGACCUUUAAUUUGAAACUGCUUUGUAGAGAGCUGCUUGAGUUGAGACUUUUAUUAUGAAAGGUACCGUGUAACUCAGGAAGUUGUUGUCUACACCGCAUGGCAAGCUGAACCUGAAGCUGUAAUCCACAUUUCUAAAGUGCAUUUAAGUUCAUUUACUCAACGGAGGUUACAGAAGAUAUUACCAGAUGUUAGAUUAAGUUCUCCUUUGGUAAUAAGCAGCCAAUGAAUUCUCACGGCAUCUUGAGUUGGAUGGUUAUCCUCAUGGUGAACCAGUCAAUAAAUCGCCUGUCAUCAGAGAAUCCUUGUGCUCGUGAAAUUACUGGGGGGGAGC